UACGUAGGUGGCGAGCGUUAUCCGGAAUUAUUGGGCGUAAAGAGGGAGCAGGCGGCACUAAGGGUCUGUGGUGAAAGAUCGAAGCUUAACUUCGGUAAGCCAUGGAAACCGUAGAGCUAGAGUGUGUGAGAGGAUCGUGGAAUUCCAUGUGUAGCGGUGAAAUGCGUAGAUAUAUGGAGGAACACCAGUGGCGAAGGCGACGAUCUGGCGCAUAACUGACGCUCAGUCCCGAAAGCGUGGGGAGC
This 245-nucleotide ribosomal RNA is filed under the name uncultured Erysipelotrichaceae bacterium. Its description in RNAcentral is "partial 16S ribosomal RNA". It matches the Rfam family "Bacterial small subunit ribosomal RNA", at positions 524 to 769 of the family's 1533-position model. Lineage: Bacteria; Bacillati; Bacillota; Erysipelotrichia; Erysipelotrichales; Erysipelotrichaceae. The record is from RNAcentral.